GAUGAACGCUGGCGGCGUGCCUAAUACAUGCAAGUAGAACGCUGAAGGAAGGAGCUUGCUCUUUCCGGAUGAGUUGCGAACGGGUGAGUAACGCGUAGGUAACCUGCCUGGUAGCGGGGGAUAACUAUUGGAAACGAUAGCUAAUACCGCAUAACAGUAGAUGUUGCAUGAUAUCUACUUAAAAGGUGCAAUUGCACCACUACCAGAUGGACCUGCGUUGUAUUAGCUAGAUGGUGAGGUAACGGCUCACCAAGGCGACGAUACAUAGCCGACCUGAGAGGGUGAUCGGCCACACUGGGACUGAGACACGGCCCAGACUCCUACGGGAGGCAGCAGUAGGGAAUCUUCGGCAAUGGACGGAAGUCUGACCGAGCAACGCCGCGUGAGUGAAGAAGGUUUUCGGAUCGUAAAGCUCUGUUGUAAGAGAAGAACGAGUGUGAGAGUGGAAAGUUCACACUGUGACGGUAUCUUACCAGAAAGGGACGGCUAACUACGUG
RNAcentral lists this ribosomal RNA (497 nucleotides) under uncultured bacterium. Its description in RNAcentral is "partial 16S ribosomal RNA". It matches the Rfam family "Bacterial small subunit ribosomal RNA", at positions 28 to 507 of the family's 1533-position model. The record is from RNAcentral.